Molecule: ribosomal RNA, 460 nt
Filed under: uncultured bacterium
Lineage: Bacteria
Description: partial 16S ribosomal RNA
Rfam family: Bacterial small subunit ribosomal RNA
Source: RNAcentral
CCUACGGGGAGCAGCAGUGAGGCAUAUUGGUCAAUGGACGAGAGUCUGAACCAGCCAAGUAGCGUGAAGGAUGACUGCCCUAUGGGUUGUAAACUUCUUUUAUAUGGGAAUAAAAUGUUCCACGUGUGGGAGUUUGUAUGUACCAUAUGAAUAAGGAUCGGCUAACUCCGUGCCAGCAGCCGCGGUAAUAAGGAGUAUCCUAGCGUUAUCCGGAUUUAUUGGGUUUAAAGGGAGCGUAGGUGGAUUGUUAAGGAAGUUGUUAAAGUUGGCGGGUCAACCGUAAAAUUGCAGUUGAAACUGGCAGUCUUGAGUACAGUAGAGGUGGGCGGAAUUCGUGGUGUAGCGGUGAAAUGCUUAGAUAUCACGAAGAACUCCGAUUGCGAAGGCAGCUCACUGGACUGCAACUGACACUGAGGCUCGAAAGUGUGGGUAUCAAACAGGAUUAGAUACCCCGGUAGUC